UACGUAGGGGGCUAGCGUUGUCCGGAAUCAUUGGGCGUAAAGCGCGUGUAGGCGGUUCGGUAAGUCCGCUGUGAAAGUCGGGGGCUCAACCCUCGGAUGCCGGUGGAUACUGUCGGGCUUGAGUACGGAAGAGGCGAGUGGAAUUCCUGGUGUAGCGGUGAAAUGCGCAGAUAUCAGGAGGAACACCAAUUGCGGAGGCAGCUCGCUGGGACGUUACUGACGCUGAGACGCGAAAGCGUGGGGAGCAAACAGG
RNAcentral lists this ribosomal RNA (253 nucleotides) under uncultured bacterium. RNAcentral's name for it is "partial 16S ribosomal RNA". It matches the Rfam family "Bacterial small subunit ribosomal RNA", at positions 524 to 776 of the family's 1533-position model. The record is from RNAcentral.